CUGACAGUGGUGGCGCGCUGCCACUUUAAAGGUGCAUGGAUUUCUCUGACCUUAUAUUCCUCAGGAUCAGAAGAACCCAGGGAGAAUGGGUUAUGUCACAAUGGGAGGUGAGGUUGGGAAAACAGUGCUUGCCUCACAGUGCUCCCCAAAGCCACCUUUGGUUCCAGGUGUAGACCAGUGUCGGCUCCCACUGGCUGCAAGAAUUUCUGUGGUUUGCAUCUGGGAAGGAGCGAUCGGCAGGAGGGCAGGAUUUGGGCAGCUGCUUGCCCACCCUUCAGCCUCAGAUGGACUUCGAUCCAGGAAUGGCACAGCAUCCAUCCAGGAGGAUAUGGGUCUUUUCCCCAUGGGCUAGUCAACAGUAGGAACUCAGAAAUGUUUGGAGGAUAACCAUGUGCACGAGUAAAUGAAAAGCUGCUUGGGAAGUCACCAGUGCAAACCAGACGCCAUCAUCAUAAUCAGUGGGCAUAAUGGCUGCAUUUCAUGGGCUGAGAUUGGCCAUAAAGAAGACCUCUUAGGGGGAGACAUAUUAAAGUCUGGG
This 538-nucleotide long non-coding RNA is filed under the name Felis catus (domestic cat). Its description in RNAcentral is "lncRNA (ENSFCAG00000049485.1)". The record is from RNAcentral. Lineage: Eukaryota; Metazoa; Chordata; Mammalia; Carnivora; Felidae.